UCUCUUCCCCCAUUUUCAACUUUUUUUUUUUUUUGUUGUGUUUUUUCGAAAGAAGCAAUUCGGAACCAUUACAUAACGGUGCGUAACAGGCCGUUACGGCCGUUACAGCACCGUUACGACCGCUAUAGCAGCCGCUGCGGCCGAUACACCUGUGAAUCUUAAUCACACUGCAAAAACGGCCGUAACGGGUGGCGGUAACUACCACAACCGUUACGUAACGGUUGCGGCCGUUUUUUAAAACCUUAGCGCCAACUUAAAAUUUUGCACGGGAGCGCUAAAAAUGUUUUCGCGACCAAAUUAAUAUAUGGCGACAAAACUUUUAGUCGCCAAUUGUAAAUUUUUGGCGACAAAAUAGUCACUAAAAGGUGAACGAUAUUUAUGGCAACAUAAUGAUUUUUGUCGCCAAUAAAUUAGGGGUCAAAACGGCGUUGUUUUAAAUCAUUUUUUUUUUUUUUUUUUUUUUUUUUUUUUGGGUGUCAACAAAGCAAGGACUAACCUAAUAUUCAUCUCAUUCUCUCACUCCACAACCUCAAGCGGCACAGCAGAAGACACAGAGGUAUGUCUUCUCUCCUUCUUCUUCUUCUUCUUCUUCUUCUUCUUCGUCUCUCUCUCCCUCUCCCUCUUAUUCUCUCACAUUGCCUCAUCUUCCUCUUUUUCUUCUUUGUUUUCAAUUUGAUUCUCUUGUUCGGCAUGGCAGAACACAGCACAACACUGAUUUUUGGGACUGAUAUUAUGAUUUUGGGACUAUUUGUGGGAUAGAUAUUUUGAUUUUGGGGCUGAUAUUCUGAUUUUGAAUUUUUUUGGGACUGAUAUUUUGAUUUUGGGACUGAUUUUGGGACUAAUAUUCUGAUUUUGGGACUGAUUUUGGAACACAGCACGACACUUCAUUGUUUGUUGUUAUGUUGUUUUAAUUAGUUCAAGCAUUAAUAAAUAAACAUAUAUAACAUGUUUUGAGGAUGUUCUGUUUUCUACACUGACCAAGUUGAAGCCUAGAGCUAAACAUCUAGAGUACAUUUUUUUUCUUCUAUCUUUUAAUUGGUUACACUUAUUGAUUGCAUGAAAUUUUAUCACUUUUAGAAGAAAAUUAUUUGGUGCAGCAGUUCUACAAAUUUAGAAGAAGAAAAAAAAAUGUGGCUGCUGUUCUGGUCUGUGCUGCAGUUCUACACUUAGAAGAAGAAAAAAUGUGGCUGCAGUUCUACACUUACUGAUUUAUUUUAUUUUAUUUUUUUUUUUUUUGUGCUCUGUGUUGCGGCUGUUCUGGGCUUUUUUUGGGCUGUUUUUGCUACUGUUUCUGGGCUGUUUUGGACUCUGUUUUGGGCAUGUUUUGUGCUUGAUUCUUCACCUGUUUAAACACCAUUUGCACUCCAAAAAUAUGGUUAAACACAAGGAGAAUUUAAGGAUUAUAAUGAUUUAUUUAAAUAUUAAGUUUUCAAUUCUAAUCCAAAUUUCAAAAUAAAUCAAAACAUAAUCAAAAACAGUUAAUCUGUGUUUGUAAUUGUUACACAAGCUUGCAUCUUAUGUAAUAACUUGAGGACAGUGACUUCGGCGGGUUGAGAAUGGUAUCAUGCUACAAUGUCAUUACAUCUUGGUGAAUAGUGAUAUACCUAAAUUUUGCUUCUUUCUGAUAUUUGUGUAGAUGAACAUGACUUUAUGCAUCAGAUUUGUUAGGCAAGUGGGUCACUGGUUAAAGGGUUGAAUGUGGCCUUCGAACCCAGCUGUUGAAUCAAGAGCCUAAUAUUUCUUACCUCAUAACUUGGGCUAUUAUUCAUUAGAGAGUGUAUUCUGUUGUAUAGUUUGAGUGCAUUAUAUUGUAAAAAUUAUCUCUUUAUGAAAUUAAAUGCAAGAAUUGUUUGAGCUAUACUUUUUAAGGAUUAGUGUUUUGAUGCCCAUCAAUAUAGUUAUAAAUUUGAUCCUGUUUCAAAAUUCUAUCAUCAUGUUAAUUGUUCAUUUGUGGUAAAGUUUUCUUAUUAAGGGUUUUACUUCUUUUGGCAACGCGAUUAUAAUUUUGAAGAAUAAAAAUCAUACGACUUAAUGUUGACAUGAUGAGAAAUAAGGCAUUAGUUUCAUCUUUUAAAGAAAUUAGCUAAAACUAUUUCUGAUUUAGAGUCUUGUUGGGGGAGAGCUUGUCCAUGCUUUGCUUAUCCAAGUAAUAUACUGCACUUCUCUGGCAGUCAGUGGUUUCUAGUUCUGAUUAUAUGACAAGGGUUUUGUGCUAUGACAGAUUCAGAAGCUGAAGUUGGAUAUUGAGACAUGAGUAGACUGAGUUGUUUUCUUUGUUUAGAAGUCAAUUCUCUUUGGUAUUCAAGUCAUUUCAUUGUUUAAGUUCCUGACUACCAUCUUCUAACAGGGCAAUGCUUGAACUAGACCAGAUUCUUAAGGCCAAUGAAAUCGAUUUUGCUAUUCUAGCUGCUUUACCAGCUUUCUUUCUCGCCCUGUCUUUUGCUGAUGUUAGUGCGUGCGUGGUUAAAACAGGAUACUAGAGCAGAAGGUCGGGGAAGGAUUGCUCGACUCCAAAGAAGGUUUCUUAUUGUGGAGGUUGAGAAAAGAAUUAUGCAGUUUCAAAUUUGCAUAGAUCAAGGAUUGAUUGGCAAUGGUGGAAACUAGUUCGGGCUACAUCAGAAGAUUUGAUUUUGUAUUUUUGGAAAUAUUUUGACGUAGGAUUUUGGUAAAUAACUCAUGGGUUAGAUGUUUAGCAUCAAAAUAUUUGAUUUUGUGUUUUUGCAAAUAUCUUGACAUAGGAUUUUGGUAAAUGACUUGUGGGUUAGAUGUCUAGUAUCAAAAUAUUUGGUUUUGUAUUUUUGAAAAUAUUUUGAUAUAGAAUUUGGUAAUGGAUUUGUGGGUUUGAUGUUAAUAAUUUGUAAGUACUUUGGUAUGAAUGUUUCAGAUUGAUAGAGAAUUAUAAUUAUGCUUAUUGGGAUGUUUAAUAGUUAUUAAUUUUGAAUUAUUAUGAAUGUCUUGCACAGGUGUAUUUCUAUUUACAUUGCAUUUGUGUAUAUAUUGUGUAUAGAAAAACAGGUGUUUUGAAUUAUUUUGAACAGAAAAAUUAUUAAAAUUCAAAUUUGUAUAGUGAAUUUUUAGUGACAGGUGAUAUUUUGGUCGCUAUUAAUAUAUUUGGCAACAACAUAUUGUUUUGUUGCUAAAAGUUAGUGGAUAUUCCAAGAACAUUUAGCAACCGAAACUUAGUUGUUGCUAAAAAGUUGAUUUUUAGCGACCAAAUUAAUUGUCACUAAAUAGUACUUUUGGCGACAAAUUUAUUUGUCGCUAAAACUACAUAGCCUAUCCAAAUCUUAAUCUUUUAGCGACAAAUUAGAAUUUUAGAGCGACAAAAUAUAUGAUUUUUGGCGACCAAUUUUGCUUGUCGCUAAAUGUCUACAUACAGUGACAAUUUAUUAUUUGGUCGCCAAUACUUUUAGUGAGAGGCCUUUGGCAACCAAUUGGGUACUUGUUGCUGAUUCUUUUGGCAAUGAAAUUUGUACUUUUGGCGACCAAUUUUUUGGUCGCCAAAUGUGCUUUUUGUUGUAGUGGACAUUGCCAAUUAUUUGGCAUUCUAACACUUGCACCCGGCACACACUACCCUUGCACCCCGCACAACAUACACUUGCACUCGCUAGAUUUUUUCUGAUCUCUAUUCCAUUCACUAUCUAUCAAAUCAUUUCAUGCAAAACAACCAUGUUUUUCAGGUUUUUCAUGUCCGCUACUAUAAUGUCAAUGUUGGACUUGUGUUUUCAUUCCUUGUACAUAUAUCCUUAUUGGAUGUCCAUUUUGUAAAAUGGUGAGUUCAUAUGUGCAUCUUUGUUGUGAUGGUGUGUUCAUAACCAAAAUGAGUCAAAUUUAUUCAAUUUCUAUCCAAUUUAAUAUGGAAUUUAUGUUUUCAAUUCAUUACAAUUGCCAUGUGUUUAUUCCAUCCUCUUAAUUGUCAUGGUCUAUGCAUAGACAUUGCCAAAUUAUUGGGCGUUCUAACACUUGCAUCCCACGCAGACAACACUUGCACCCCCUAAAUUUUUUCAAAUCUCCAUUCCAUUGACUUUCCAUCCAAGCAUUUCAUUUAAAACAAUCAUGUUUUUCAAUUUUUUUCAUAUUUGAACUGCCAUGUCAAUGUUGGACUUGCAUUUUACCCAUUCAUUCCUACAUGUGCACUUGCAUCCCACACAGAUUACACUUGCACCCCAUGAAAUUUUUACCAAUCUCUAUCCCAUUGACUUUCCGUCGCAACUUGUUUCGUCCAAAACAACCUAUCCCUCUUACAGUAUAUUUUCACCUUUUAUGGAAAAUAUUUGUGGCUCAAAUAAGUUUAUUUUCGUUGACUUGUAAAAAAAAAUAAUUUCUUUUUUGGUUAAACUUUCAUGUCCAUCAUUCAAACACCAGAAAAAUACAAAAAGAAAAAAAAAAAUGUCUCUCUAAAACAAACGGACCAUUGAAUCGUUGAAUGUGUUGCUUUAAAUGCAUAAGAAAUAGCUAAAAGAGAGAGAGGAGAAAUGUUUGCAAUUUUAUCCACAUUCUUUAAAAUGUUGCUUCCCUUAUUUUUCUCAUAGUUUACCUCUAGAGACCAAAUGAAUCCUUGAUACUACAACUUGAAAACUAUUCAAGUAUGUUGUUGAGACAUUGGACAAUGCAGAGAGCCUGAAAUUGUAGUAUCGUUCGCUUGCUAAGGUUUCAGAUAAUCCAUCUUCAAAGCUAUCCGCACUUACCAAUACGACGCCGAACUGGCUUUGGAGUUGCAGUGAACAAGAUGAGUCGAAGUUAGGUAGCUAUAAUUUGUUGCGGUUAUGUGACUUUGCAUAUAGAGUUAAUCUAACUUUACUGGUCAUGAAGCUUUCUUGUAAUAUUUGUGUUGUAUUCCUUACAUUUAGGCUUUCUAAAAUGUAGAAGUUGCAUGUGAUUUGAUUUGAGAAACCCUAGAAUAAGACUUGAGAUACGAGAUAUGAAUUAUGUAAUCAAUUUUGUUUGUAAUAUC
Non-coding RNA from Camellia sinensis, 4954 nucleotides. NCBI's taxonomy places the organism in Eukaryota, Viridiplantae, Streptophyta, Magnoliopsida, Ericales, Theaceae. The record is from RefSeq and is a predicted model, not a curated record.